Molecule: transfer RNA, 67 nt
Filed under: Aposthonia borneensis
Lineage: Eukaryota; Metazoa; Arthropoda; Insecta; Embioptera; Oligotomidae
Description: tRNA-Ala
Source: RNAcentral
AAGAUUAUAGUUAAACAUAACAUUUGUCUUGCUUACAAAAAGUAAUGAAACCCUUCAUUUUAUCUUA